UGGGGAAUAUUGCGCAAUGGGCGAAAGCCUGACGCAGCGACGCCGCGUGAGGGAUGAAGGUUUUCGGAUCGUAAACCUCUGUCAGAAGGGAAGAAACCGCACUGUGCUAAUCAGCAGUGCCUUGACGGUACCUUCAAAGGAAGCACCGGCUAACUCCGUGCCAGCAGCCGCGGUAAUACGGAGGGUGCAAGCGUUAAUCGGAAUUACUGGGCGUAAAGCGCACGUAGGCUGCUUUGUAAGUCAGGGGUGAAAUCCCACGGCUCAACCGUGGAACUGCCUUUGAUACUGCUUAGCUUGAAUCCGGGAGAGGGUGGCGGAAUUCCAGGUGUAGGAGUGAAAUCCGUAGAUAUCUGGAGGAACAUCAGUGGCGAAGGCGGCCAACUGGACCGGUAUUGACGCUGAGGUGCGAAAGCGUGGGGAGCAAACAGG
Molecule: ribosomal RNA, 429 nt
Filed under: Fusobacteriota bacterium
Lineage: Bacteria; Fusobacteriati; Fusobacteriota
Description: Fusobacteria bacterium partial 16S ribosomal RNA
Rfam family: Bacterial small subunit ribosomal RNA
Source: RNAcentral